RNAcentral lists this ribosomal RNA (796 nucleotides) under uncultured methanogenic archaeon. RNAcentral's name for it is "bacterial SSU rRNA". It matches the Rfam family "Archaeal small subunit ribosomal RNA", at positions 85 to 879 of the family's 1478-position model. Lineage: Archaea; Methanobacteriati; Methanobacteriota. The record is from RNAcentral.
ACGGCUCAGUAACACGUGGAUAACCUGCCCUUGGGUCCGGCAUAACCCCGGGAAACUGGGGAUAAUUCCGGAUAACGCACAUAUGCUGGAAUGCUUUAUGCGUAAAAUGGAUUCGUCUGCCCAAGGAUGGGUCUGCGGCCUAUCAGGUAGUAGUGGGUGUAAUGUACCUACUAGCCAACAACGGGUACGGGUUGUGAGAGCAAGAGCCCGGAGAUGGAUUCUGAGACAUGAAUCCAGGCCCUACGGGGCGCAGCAGGCGCGAAAACUUUACAAUGCGGGAAACCGUGAUAAGGGGACACCGAGUGCCAGCGUCAUACGCUGGCUGUCCGGGUGUGUAAAAUACACCUGUUAGCAAGGGCCGGGCAAGACCGGUGCCAGCCGCCGCGGUAACACCGGCGGCCCGAGUGGUGAUCGUGAUUAUUGGGUCUAAAGGGUCCGUAGCCGGUUUGGUCAGUCCUCCGGGAAAUCUGAUAGCUUAACUAUUAGGCUUUCGGGGGAUACUGCCAGACUUGGAACCGGGAGAGGUAAGAGGUACUACAGGGGUAGGAGUGAAAUCUUGUAAUCCCUGUGGGACCACCUGUGGCGAAGGCGUCUUGCCAGAACGGGUUCGACGGUGAGGGACGAAAGCUGGGGGCACGAACCGGAUUAGAUACCCGGGUAGUCCCAGCCGUAAACGAUGCUCGCUAGGUGUCAGGCAUGGCGCGACCGUGUCUGGUGCCGCAGGGAAGCCGUGAAGCGAGCCACCUGGGAAGUACGGCCGCAAGGCUGAAACUUAAAGGAAUUGGCGGGGGAGCAC